RNAcentral lists this ribosomal RNA (497 nucleotides) under uncultured bacterium. Its description in RNAcentral is "partial 16S ribosomal RNA". It matches the Rfam family "Bacterial small subunit ribosomal RNA", at positions 28 to 507 of the family's 1533-position model. The record is from RNAcentral.
GAUGAACGCUGGCGGCGUGCCUAAUACAUGCAAGUCGAGCGAACAGACGAGGAGCUUGCGCCUCUGACGUUAGCGGCGGACGGGUGAGUAACGCAUGCAUCACCUACCUAUAUGACGGGGAUAACUUCGUAAAGCCAGAGCUACUACUGGCUAAUAUAUUGAACCGCUGGGUUCAAUAGUUCAUCACGGUUUUGCUGUCUCUUAUAGCUGGAUCCGUGUCGCAUUAGCUAGUUGGUAAGGUAACGGCUUACCAAGGCGACGAUGCGUAGCCGACCUGAGAGGGUGAUCGGCCACACUGGAACUGAGACACGGUCCAGACUCCUACGGGAGGCAGCAGUAGGGAAUCUUGCGCAAUGGGCGAAAGCCUGACGGAGCAACGCCGCGUGAGUGAUGAAGGUCUUCGGAUCGUAAAACUCUGUUAUUAGGGAAGAACAAAUGUGUAAGUAACUAUGCACGUCUUGACGGUACCUAAACAGAAAGCCACGGCUAACUACGUG